Micropterus salmoides (largemouth bass) is the source of this 341-nucleotide long non-coding RNA. RefSeq lists it as uncharacterized. The record is from RefSeq and is a predicted model, not a curated record. NCBI's taxonomy places the organism in Eukaryota, Metazoa, Chordata, Actinopteri, Centrarchiformes, Centrarchidae. The transcript has 3 exons.
GGUGAGUGUAUGUAUCUCUAAUUCAUGUCAGCAUGUACCAUUUACACACUUUGCAGCAAUACAGGCAAUUAUAAACGAGGUAUUUAAAAAGGACCAGAAUCAGCAGUAAGUGUUGGCACUAAUGGCAGCAGCAGGAGCAGCAGUACGACGGGCCAGGGGAAACUCAGCCGCAAGACCAAAACAUCAUAAAUCAUCUCGACGCAGGCCAGGCUGGAGCCAGAUAAUGCUAAAUAGCAAAGCUGAAAGGCUAUUUUCACGCAGACUGAUCGGCAGCUACUGUAUGCUGCAGGCAGGGCAGCAGGUCUCUCUCCGGUCCGGAAGAGGGCAGAAGUCCAUCUGCC